CAGUGAACAAGUAUUUGGAAAUUCACUUUGAACACGGAGAUGUCCAGCGAUGAUGAGGACUCGCGAACAAUGUCAUUUCAAUAGCGCAGUAUCAGAACAGCCCAUACGAUACGCUUUAUACGGUCAUUUUCAGUCUCAAGAUAGAAAAUACGAGAACCACUUUUGAACUACCUUGAACUAUAAUUAAUGUUUUUCCUGUUGAGGAACUCUAGAAAUAUGAAAGAAGAAAUUCGCUUCGAACAGGGAGACGUCGCCCAACGACGACAUUAGGGAUCACGAACAAUGUCAUUUCUGCCAUUCACAGACUCAUUUGAAUUCUUUUUCGGAGUCAUACUCUCAAUCGUGUUCGGAAUUGUAUUUCGAGAUAUCAUCUUCAGCACAACAUCGAAAAUAAUACACGUUUCGAACGGAAGCAAUGAACUCGUUCAAGUGAGAAUCAGAGACAAUGGGGUAAAUCAACAAGAGACCCUUGCAACUCUGCUACCCGGAGAAGUCAACAUACACAGAUCAACCGGAUGGACGAAUGACGCUAGUUUAACAGUCUGUGUUUUCGUGAAAUUCGAAGACAACACUGAAGAAUCGAUUAACACGGAGAACAAUCGAAGUAUAAUCAUUAAGCCGAACAAAAGGCUCGUCGAGGCAAAAUACGAACCCUGGUUCAAGGCAGCUCUAUCUUUUAGACGGGCUGAUUCAAGCAUUUGGCGGGAUAAGGGGAAUAUCUGUCACAAGCCCAGAUGUGGGGCAGCAACUUGCAUGUGUUAAAAUGUAAAUGAAAGCCUGCGAUUAUUUAGAGUGAAUAGUGCAUAGUGAACAAGAAUUCAGGAAACUAAAAAAAAACGGCGUUCAUUUUGUGUGGGUUGUAAAUUAUGAAACAAAUACAACUCUUUUGGGGCAUACAACAACUCAUAUAUACUUAACUUAACCAGCAUAUCCAAAGCCUCCUCUGUGGCUAUUCUUCCUGUUUGUUCUUUAUAACAUUUGACUCCAUAGCAUUUCAAAACUCUUAUGUGCUAGAUCGCAACCUAAAAAUGUGCGACAUGAUUUUGAAAUAUUUCCAGAAGAAGUUUUCUUGGCUUGGCCGAACCGUAAAUGAUGACAGUUCCAGUAACGAGCACAGUGGAAGGAACUCGGAUGGAAGCUGCAAUUUUUCGCACUGUGAUGACGAUUUUUACCAAGAGGACAAUUUCAACAGUUACAGUCAAGUAGAAGACUUGGGAGA
Long non-coding RNA from Daphnia carinata, 1219 nucleotides. RefSeq lists it as uncharacterized. NCBI's taxonomy places the organism in Eukaryota, Metazoa, Arthropoda, Branchiopoda, Diplostraca, Daphniidae. The transcript has 3 exons. The record is from RefSeq and is a predicted model, not a curated record.